Molecule: ribosomal RNA, 1395 nt
Filed under: uncultured bacterium
Lineage: Bacteria
Description: bacterial SSU rRNA
Rfam family: Bacterial small subunit ribosomal RNA
Source: RNAcentral
AGUUUGAUCCUGGCUCAGGAUGAACGCUAGCUACAGGCUUAACACAUGCAAGUCGAGGGGCAUCAGGAAGAAAGCUUGCUUUCUUUGCCGGCGACCGGCGCACGGGUGAGUAACACGUAUCCAACCUGCCCUUUACUCGGGGAUAGCCUUUCGAAAGAAAGAUUAAUACCCGAUAGUAUAAUGAUUCCGCAUGGUUUCAUUAUUAAAGGAUUCCGGUAAAGGAUGGGGAUGCGUUCCAUUAGGUUGUUGGUGAGGUAACGGCCCACCAAGCCUUCGAUGGAUAGGGGUUCUGAGAGGAAGGUCCCCCACAUUGGAACUGAGACACGGUCCAAACUCCUACGGGAGGCAGCAGUGAGGAAUAUUGGUCAAUGGGCGCUAGCCUGAACCAGCCAAGUAGCGUGAAGGAUGAAGGCUUCUAUGGGUCGUAAACUUCUUUUAUAUAAGAAUAAAGUGCAGUAUGUAUACUGUUUUGUAUGUAUUAUAUGAAUAAGGAUCGGCUAACUCCGUGCCAGCAGCCGCGGUAAUACGGAGGAUCCGAGCGUUAUCCGGAUUUAUUGGGUUUAAAGGGAGCGUAGGUGGACUGGUAAGUCAGUUGUGAAAGUUUGCGGCUCAACCGUAAAAUUGCAGUUGAUACUGUCAGUCUUGAGUACAGUAGAGGUGGGCGGAAUUCGUGGUGUAGCGGUGAAAUGCUUAGAUAUCACGAAGAACUCCGAUUGCGAAGGCAGCUCACUGGACUGCAACUGACACUGAUGCUCGAAAGUGUGGGUAUCAAACAGGAUUAGAUACCCUGGUAGUCCACACAGUAAACGAUGAAUACUCGCUGUUUGCGAUAUACAGUAAGCGGCCAAGCGAAAGCAUUAAGUAUUCCACCUGGGGAGUACGCCGGCAACGGUGAAACUCAAAGGAAUUGACGGGGGCCCGCACAAGCGGAGGAACAUGUGGUUUAAUUCGAUGAUACGCGAGGAACCUUACCCGGGCUUAAAUUGCAGUGGAAUGAUGUGGAAACAUGUCAGUGAGCAAUCACCGCUGUGAAGGUGCUGCAUGGUUGUCGUCAGCUCGUGCCGUGAGGUGUCGGCUUAAGUGCCAUAACGAGCGCAACCCUUAUCUUCAGUUACUAACAGGUCAUGCUGAGGACUCUGGAGAGACUGCCGUCGUAAGAUGUGAGGAAGGUGGGGAUGACGUCAAAUCAGCACGGCCCUUACGUCCGGGGCUACACGCGUGUUACAAUGGGGGGUACAGAAGGCAGCUAGCGGGUGACCGUAUGCUAAUCCCAAAAUCCUCUCUCAGUUCGGAUCGAAGUCUGCAACCCGACUUCGUGAAGCUGGAUUCGCUAGUAAUCGCGCAUCAGCCACGGCGCGGUGAAUACGUUCCCGGGCCUUGUACACACCGCCCGUC